ACCUGCUGAUCAUCAGUGGCAGCAUCUAGCCAAACAUGGCUGACCUCAGAAGCUAGGUAAGACUGGACUUGUUUAGCACUUGGAUGGGCAACCACCAGGAAAUCCCAGGACUGUAGGUU
Molecule: ribosomal RNA, 119 nt
Filed under: Salvator merianae (Argentine black and white tegu)
Lineage: Eukaryota; Metazoa; Chordata; Lepidosauria; Squamata; Teiidae
Source: RNAcentral